This 575-nucleotide ribosomal RNA is filed under the name Vishniacozyma carnescens. RNAcentral's name for it is "eukaryotic LSU rRNA". It matches the Rfam family "Eukaryotic large subunit ribosomal RNA", at positions 1 to 535 of the family's 3401-position model. The record is from RNAcentral. Lineage: Eukaryota; Fungi; Basidiomycota; Tremellomycetes; Tremellales; Bulleribasidiaceae.
UACGUUUCAUCCUUUCGGGUGGCUGAUAACCCCACAUAUUCAUGAUCUGGCCUCAAAUCAGGUAGGGCUACCCGCUGAACUUAAGCAUAUCAAUAAGCGGAGGAAAAGAAACUAACUAGGAUUCCCUUAGUAACGGCGAGUGAACCGGGAUGAGCUCAAAUUUGAAAUCUGGCGUCUUUCAGGCGUCCGAGUUGUAAUCUAUAGAGGCGUUUUCCGCGCCGGACCGCGUCCAAGUCUCUUGGAAUAGAGUAUCAAAGAGGGUGACAAUCCCGUACUUGACGCGACAACCGGUGCUCUGUGAUACGUUCUCAAUGAGUCGAGUUGUUUGGGAAUGCAGCUCUAAAUGGGUGGUAAAUUCCAUCUAAGGCUAAAUAUUGGCGAGAGACCGAUAGCGAACAAGUACCGUGAGGGAAAGAUGAAAAGCACUUUGGAAAGAGAGUUAAACAGCACGUGAAAUUGUUAAAAGGGAAACGAUUGAAGUCAGUCGUGUGGGAAGUAUUCAGCCGUCUCUGGCGGUGUAUUUGCUUCUCACGGGUCAACAUCAGUUUGAUCCGGUAGAAAAAGGCUGGAAGAAG